Molecule: ribosomal RNA, 444 nt
Filed under: uncultured bacterium
Lineage: Bacteria
Description: partial 16S ribosomal RNA
Rfam family: Bacterial small subunit ribosomal RNA
Source: RNAcentral
CCUACGGGCGGCAGCAGUGGGGAAUCUUGGGCAAUGGACGAAACUCUGACCCAGCAAUGCCGCGUGAAUGAAGAAGGUCUUCGGAUUGUAAAGUUCUUUAGUCAGGGAAGAAGUCAAUGACGGUACCUGAAGAAUAAGCUCCGGCUAACUACGUGCCAGCAGCCGCGGUAAUACGUAGGGAGCAAGCGUUGUUCGGAAUGACUGGGCGUAAAGGGUGCGUUGGGGGUGGUACAAGUGAGAAGUGAAAUACCCAGGGCUUAACUCGGGUGCUGCUUCUAAAACUGUAUGACUUGAGUGCAGGAGAGGUUAGUGGAAUUCCUAGUGUAGCGGUGGAAUGCGUAGAUAUUAGGAGGAACACCAGAGGCGAAGGCGGCUAACUGGACUGCAACUGACGCUGAGGCACGAAAGUGUGGGGAGCAAACAGGAUUAGAUACCCCAGUAGUC